This 524-nucleotide ribosomal RNA is filed under the name uncultured bacterium. Its description in RNAcentral is "partial 16S ribosomal RNA". It matches the Rfam family "Bacterial small subunit ribosomal RNA", at positions 355 to 895 of the family's 1533-position model. The record is from RNAcentral.
UGGGGAAUAUUGCACAAUGGGCGAAAGCCUGAUGCAGCAACGCCGCGUGAGUGAUGAAGGCCUUCGGGUUGUAAAGCUCUGUCUUUUGGGACGAUAAUGACGGUACCAAAGGAGGAAGCCACGGCUAACUACGUGCCAGCAGCCGCGGUAAUACGUAGGUGGCAAGCGUUGUCCGGAUUUACUGGGCGUAAAGGAUGCGUAGGCGGAUUUUUAAGUGAGAUGUGAAAACCCUAAGCUUAACUUGGGGACUGCAUUUCAUACUGGAAAUCUAGAGUGCGGGAGAGGAGAAUGGAAUUCCUAGUGUAGCGGUGAAAUGCGUAGAGAUUAGGAAGAACACCAGUGGCGAAGGCGAUUCUCUGGACCGUAACUGACGCUGAGGCAUGAAAGCGUGGGUAGCAAACAGGAUUAGAUACCCUGGUAGUCCACGCCGUAAGCGAUGAGUACUAGGUGUAGGAGGUAUCGACCCCUUCUGUGCCGCAGUUAACACAAUAAGUACUCCGCCUGGGAAGUACGAUCGCAAGAUU